CAGUCGCCGCGGUAAUACAGAGGGUGCGAGCGUUAAUCGGAUUUACUGGGCGUAAAGCGUGCGUAGGCGGCUUUUUAAGUUGGAUGUGAAAUCCCUGAGCUUAACUUAGGAAUUGCAUUCGAUACUGGGAAGCUAGAGUAUGGGAGAGGAUGGUAGAAUUCCAGGUGUAGCGGUGAAAUGCGUAGAGAUCUGGAGGAAUACCGAUGGCGAAGGCAGCCAUCUGGCCUAAUACUGACGCUGAGGUACGAAAGCAUGGGGAGCAAACAGGAUUAGAUACCCCCGUAGUCCCUGUCUCUUAUAC
Molecule: ribosomal RNA, 301 nt
Filed under: uncultured bacterium
Lineage: Bacteria
Description: partial 16S ribosomal RNA
Rfam family: Bacterial small subunit ribosomal RNA
Source: RNAcentral